CUAGGUGGCGGCACAGAGGACUGCCGGACAAGGUAGGCAUGGGGGAUGGUGGCCUUAGGGUGAUGGUGAGGUUCAAAAGUAGGUUCUUGGUUAUGGUAAGCACGUGCAAGCUCUCGGUGUCCUGAGUUCGCGACGAGUACUUACGCUGGACACAAGCAGCAUGCUACACAUAGGCAAGUAGAGCUAAGGGUCAUGGUGGAGUUAGAACACACAUGGCCUACGUGAGCACAAGCAGGCAGAUAAUGCUACAACUUGCAAGGUUUUUUGGCCUGAACACCAACAAGCACAGGUUUGAUGAUAGGUACCCGCUAGGGUUGAUUCCGAUCUUUCAAUGAGAGGAUGUGGGAUAACUCGAUUGGUGGAUGGAGACGAUGUUCACGGCCCGACCAUAACCUUCCAAGCUGCAUCUUAGCAAUCGAUACACCACCUCUAAUGGCUGCCGCAAUCUUGUGGAGCACGUCACCCGGCCUCUAGGGCACUCAUCUUGCAAGCAAUCGAAGAAGUAGCAAGAACAAGUAUAACAAGUACUGAAUUUAUUAGAUGAAGAUGAAGGUUUCAAACUCAAUCUCAGUAAUGAUGGGGUUCCGAAGACAAGAAGACGGACAGUUGAUCCAGCACGCACGCUUACAAGCAAGUAGCGAGAGCUAAACUUGAUC
This 656-nucleotide long non-coding RNA is filed under the name Setaria viridis. RNAcentral's name for it is "long non-coding RNA (SVIR_LNC010647)". Lineage: Eukaryota; Viridiplantae; Streptophyta; Magnoliopsida; Poales; Poaceae. The record is from RNAcentral.